CCUUACCAGGUCUUGACAUCCUCUGACCACCCGGGAGACAGGGCUUUUCCCUUGGGGGGACAGAGUGACAGGUGGUGCAUGGUUGUCGUCAGCUCGUGUCGUGAGAUGUUGGGUUAAGUCCCGCAACGAGCGCAACCCUUGAUCUUAGUUGCCAGCAUUCAGUUGGGCACUGUAAGGUGACUGCCGGUGACAAACCGGAGGAAGGUGGGGAUGACGUCAAAUCAUCAUGCCCCUUAUGACCUGGGCUACACACAUGCUACAAUAGACGGUACAGAGGGCUGCAAACCCGCAGGCAAGCCCUCCCAGAAACCUUCCCAAUUCGGAUUUCAGACUCAACUACAUCAUUACCGUUACGCCGCACUCACUUGUCAGCGCCCUCU
This 380-nucleotide ribosomal RNA is filed under the name uncultured bacterium. RNAcentral's name for it is "bacterial SSU rRNA". It matches the Rfam family "Bacterial small subunit ribosomal RNA", at positions 969 to 1350 of the family's 1533-position model. The record is from RNAcentral.